AAUAAGUACAGUUUUGCACUAUUCAUCUUCAACUUUUGAUCGUUCGUCUUAUUUGAAAAAAUUUUAUGAUUACUAUAUUUAUUGUUAUUAGAUGAUAAAACAUAAAUAGUACUUUAUGUGUGACUAUUUUUUUAAAAAAAAAUUAUAAUUUUUUUAAAUAAGACGGACGGUCAAACGUUGGACACGGAUUUCCACGGUUGCACUUAUU
Oryza sativa Indica Group (long-grained rice) is the source of this 208-nucleotide microRNA precursor. It matches the Rfam family "MIR812 microRNA precursor family". The record is from Rfam. NCBI's taxonomy places the organism in Eukaryota, Viridiplantae, Streptophyta, Magnoliopsida, Poales, Poaceae.